AGCAACUCUGUGGAGCAAAGCCAUGGGGGCAGUUACAUUGGAUGAGAGGUUGAAGUUUUGACAUCAAACUGGAUUCUUACAUUGGAAGAGUCCUCAAAGGCUAUCCAGACAACAUUCUCACAUGGGAGAGUUGCUCUUUAAGUGAACUUGCUUGUCAAAUGCCUCUUUAAAAAGCGAGUGAAGAUAAUUGCAAGUCAGCUGGAAGUGCUGCCAAGAUAUGACCUCCAGGAAGGCCCAGAAGACAAGUGAUAUUGUGUGGACUGCUACAGCGCAAUGUCUAACUGAUUCAAAAUGAAGAAUCAAUUUGAAAUUAAGAUGAGAAAAGGCAUCCAGCACUUAUAUUAUAGCAAAAAACAUUGUCACCAGGCCCUGGGAAAGAUGAGACCACCUCCCUUCCCUUCUCAGGCUCCCUUUCCCUGUCAGACUGUAGCUCUUAAAGGCUGUCAUCCUCCAAGGGUAUUCCCUAAGUACAGCAUAGCAUCUCUGUUAGCCUUUGAAUUCAACAAUAUUGAUCUCCUCCAACAUUUUCAUUCCUUUAGUCAAAAGUCAGCUGUCAAACGCAAGGCACAAGUGCAACUUUAAGGAAUUCAUGGCCAAUAUUUGUCAUGUCAUUUCAUGGAUUGUCUGCAGGCACAUAAAACAUACAAUGAGGAUACUGAUCCAAGAUACAUGGCACACAAUUAAAUUGUGAAAAAACAUGACUCUGAGUCCAGAAGUUCUUAUUUUUUUGCAGUCUUCAGAGUAUCGUAUAGGCCCCUUGAAAAAUAAAUUUGCAGAGUGUGAAUGUUAAUUUACUUUCACCUUCAGAAAACAGAUUUUCCACAUUUAUAAAAGAGAAAUAGUGACUAUUCUAGACAAUAGAGCCCAGCAAGAAUACUCAAACUAGUAUAACCCUAUUUCUCUAUACCACAAAGACAUCUUGUAGGCAUGUUCCUCUGAAGGACUUGACUUGAGAAUUAUGCUUUUUUUCCUCCUUUUCUCUCUAAAAGCAAAAAGCACCAUAAUCUUGCUGUAGUAUAAUCAAAACAGAGCCCGAUGUGAAAACAGAGCCUUGAGUUUUCAUCCUUCAUUUGUUACUUAAAAGUUGACAUAAGAAAAAUUAUUUAACUUCUCUUAACCUCAGUUUCUUAUCUAUAAAAUGGGAUUAUAAAAUGUAUCUCACAAAGUAGUUAUGAGGAUUAAAGGAAAUG
Cercocebus atys (sooty mangabey) is the source of this 1190-nucleotide long non-coding RNA. RefSeq lists it as uncharacterized. The transcript has 3 exons. NCBI's taxonomy places the organism in Eukaryota, Metazoa, Chordata, Mammalia, Primates, Cercopithecidae. The record is from RefSeq and is a predicted model, not a curated record.